GACAGGUGGUGCAUGGUUGUCGUCAGCUCGUGUCGUGAGAUGUUGGGUUAAGUCCCGCAACGAGCGCAACCCUUGAUCUUAGUUGCCAGCAUUUCGGGUGGGCACUCUAAGAUGACUGCCGGUGACAAACCGGAGGAAGGUGGGGAUGACGUCAAAUCAUCAUGCCCCUUAUGACCUGGGCUACACACGUACUACAAUGGUCGGUACAACGGGAAGCGAAGCCGCGAGGUGGAGCCAAUCCUUAUAAGCCGAUCUCAGUUCGGAUUGCAGGCUGCAACUCGCCUGCAUGAAGUCGGAAUUGCUAGUAAUCGCGGAUCAGCA
RNAcentral lists this ribosomal RNA (321 nucleotides) under Paenibacillus sp. RNAcentral's name for it is "bacterial SSU rRNA". It matches the Rfam family "Bacterial small subunit ribosomal RNA", at positions 1033 to 1354 of the family's 1533-position model. The record is from RNAcentral. Lineage: Bacteria; Bacillati; Bacillota; Bacilli; Caryophanales; Paenibacillaceae.